This 445-nucleotide ribosomal RNA is filed under the name uncultured bacterium. RNAcentral's name for it is "bacterial SSU rRNA". It matches the Rfam family "Bacterial small subunit ribosomal RNA", at positions 330 to 792 of the family's 1533-position model. The record is from RNAcentral.
CCCAGACUCCUACGGGAGGCAGCAGUGGGGAAUAUUGCACAAUGGGGGAAACCCUGAUGCAGCGACGCCGCGUGAGUGAAGAAGUAUCUCGGUACGUAAAGCUCUAUCAGCAGGGAAGAUAAUGACGGUACCUGACCAAGAAGCCCCGGCUAACUACGUGCCAGCAGCCGCGGUAAUACGUAGGGGGCAAGCGUUAUCCGGAUUUACUGGGUGUAAAGGGAGCGUAGACGGCAGCACAAGUCUGGAGUGAAAUCCCGGGGCUUAACCCCGGAACUGCUUUGGAAACUGUGCGGCUGGAGUGCAGGAGGGGUAAGCGGAAUUCCUAGUGUAGCGGUGAAAUGCGUAGAUAUUAGGAGGAACACUGGUGGCGAAGGCGGCCUGCUGGACUGCAACUGACGUUGAGGCCCGAAAGCGUGGGGAGCAAACAGGAUUAGAUCCCCGAGUA